UCUAGCCCGGGUUGGUCUGUUUUUUUUUUUUACUCUGCGGGCUCCGGCCCUGCCCUAAACACGGGCGCCAAACGCGGACGACGACUCUUUUCCGCCGCCGGCCACCGCAGUCAGAGGCAGCUGCUACCCGCCGACCAAGUACGUUCUCACCGGACAUUAAUCUCAAGCUCAUGUGAAACCAUAGGCCUUCUUCCUCUCCUGAAGAGUGAAGUCCUGGCAGAUCCUGACUGGAACCAUGCUCAACCACCCCACCCCACUGCCGCCCCAGUUUCUCCCACCCCCGCAGCGCCGCCGAUCUUGCUGAUCUCGCCGAUACGCGUGCAGCGGGUGUUCCAUGGGUCGGGCGAGCGAUGAAGAGUGGCCCGCAUUCAGAUGCUGGGCUCAAGGUGGUAAGAAUCUAAAGCACCAGUCCCAUCUCCCCUUUUGGGCUCAACUUUGAAAAGUGCAUAUAACUGAAUCGUACAGCUGCUCUCAAAGUCAUCUACAUAACAAGACGACCGAACUACCGUGGCUAUCUGGUAACGACAUUGUUAUCCUAUCUUUUCAUCCUUUUGACUUAUCAGGAGCCAAGAUACAGGGAGCAGGAGUUCAACCUCCAUGCUUUGGGUGGCUUUGUGCCUGUGAGAACUGAGCGAUCUGUCAACAGAACCAUGUUGGAACUAAUUCAUGGUCAAUCUUGGGAUGGAUUGCCUGCCAACCUAUGGAGAUUAUGGUAUUAUUAUCUACUGUAGUUGCAUAAUUCUCUUUCCCUUCGAUGAUAAUGACCGACCUGAAGGAAGAGAUCCCGAGUGCUAUGGCAGGUCGUCAACGGAUUCUUCUGUGAGCACGCCCAAGGCGUGGUACCAUUGAUACGAACGGUGGACUCUCGAGUCACUGAACUCGCUGCAUCGACAUGAGACGACUGUUUUGGCGUGGUUUGAUCCCAGCCACUUGUUUCGGAUCCGAUGCUUGAAAAGCCUGUAACAAAGUUCAGGUAGAAAGAAAAUCAAAAGGCCUGUAAUUAUUCUGGAUGCUGCCCUGUACUGUAACGCAAGAAUAUUCUUGUGAAGAAAAAUAUUUUCCUGUUUCUGGAUUUGGGACUGGAUGCCAAUGCAUGUGCAGUUAGUUA
Molecule: long non-coding RNA, 1108 nt
Organism: Triticum aestivum (bread wheat)
Lineage: Eukaryota; Viridiplantae; Streptophyta; Magnoliopsida; Poales; Poaceae
Exons: 3
Source: RefSeq, a predicted model, not a curated record